This is a long non-coding RNA of Pecten maximus, 578 nucleotides long. RefSeq lists it as uncharacterized. The record is from RefSeq and is a predicted model, not a curated record. The transcript is spliced from 3 exons. NCBI's taxonomy places the organism in Eukaryota, Metazoa, Mollusca, Bivalvia, Pectinida, Pectinidae.
AUAAACUACACACAUGACCCUUCAUACCAACUAUACAUAAGUGUUGACUCCGGGAUCAUUCCCUAACCAAGAAACAUGUAUAAACAUAUGGAGCUAGCGAUACUGAUGGAAGGAUAAAGUGUCGGGACAUCUAAACCACUCGGCCACAGCAUGGAAAUGUGCGAGGGGAUGGGGUCUCACUAUGGGAAGAAACCGGUGUACAAACUAAACUAGCAUGCACUGCUCUCCAGCACGAGGUCAAGCAGCGAGGAACGUGUGUGGAAAACACGGAUGGACCUGAUAGAAGUAUAAUAGGAAACGGUGUGUCAUUAAUUUCCGCGUGAAUGUUGAAUGUGAUCGAUACGGAAUGUGUCUAAUCGGUAAUAUGAAGGUCAACGUUUACCUAGUGAUGUGUUUUAUAUUGGGAGGUAUGCUGGCUCUCAAACUUUUCUUUCAAAUGCGAUGUACGGACAAAGAAAAAAUGCACCAAGUCCCCAGUAUUCUGAUAUCUGCACCGAGACAAUCGACAUUUCAUCAAUAAAAGUAAACGUAUCAAACGUCCCUCGAAUGAUAUUUGAUGUAGCCAUGCAUCUCAAAAA